GAUGAACGCUGGCGGCGUGCCUAAUACAUGCAAGUCGAGCGAACGGACGAGAAGCUUGCUUCUCUGAUGUUAGCGGCGGACGGGUGAGUAACACGUGGAUAACCUACCUAUAAGACUGGGAUAACUUCGGGAAACCGGAGCUAAUACCGGAUAAUAUUUUGAACCGCAUGGUUCAAAAGUGAAAGACGGUCUUGCUGUCACUUAUAGAUGGAUCCGCGCUGCAUUAGCUAGUUGGUAAGGUAACGGCUUACCAAGGCAACGAUGCAUAGCCGACCUGAGAGGGUGAUCGGCCACACUGGAACUGAGACACGGUCCAGACUCCUACGGGAGGCAGCAGUAGGGAAUCUUCCGCAAUGGGCGAAAGCCUGACGGAGCAACGCCGCGUGAGUGAUGAAGGUCUUCGGAUCGUAAAACUCUGUUAUUAGGGAAGAACAUAUGUGUAAGUAACUGUGCACAUCUUGGCGGUACCUAAUCAGAAAGCCACGGCUAACUACGUGCCAGCAGCCGCGGUAAUACGUAGGUGGCAAGCGUUAUCCGGAAUUAUUGGGCGUAAAGCGCGCGUAGGCGGUUUUUUAGUCUGAUGUGAAAGCCCACGGCUCAACCGUGGAGGGUCAUUGGAAACUGGAAAACUUGAGUGCAGAAGAGGAAAGUGGAAUUCCAUGUGUAGCGGUGAAAUGCGCAGAGAUAUGGAGGAACACCAGUGGCGAAGGCGACUUUCUGGUCUGUAACUGACGCUGAUGUGCGAAAGCGUGGGGAUCAAACAGGAUUAGAUACCCUGGUAGUCCACGCCGUAAACGAUGAGUGCUAAGUGUUAGGGGGUUUCCGCCCCUUAGUGCUGCAGCUAACGCAUUAAGCACUCCGCCUGGGGAGUACGACCGCAAGGUUGAAACUCAAAGGAAUUGACGGGGACCCGCACAAGCGGUGGAGCAUGUGGUUUAAUUCGAAGCAACGCGAAGAACCUUACCAAAUCUUGACAUCCUUUGACAACUCUAGAGAUAGAGCCUUCCCCUUCGGGGGACAAAGUGACAGGUGGUGCAUGGUUGUCGUCAGCUCGUGUCGUGAGAUGUUGGGUUAAGUCCCGCAACGAGCGCAACCCUUAAGCUUAGUUGCCAUCAUUAAGUUGGGCACUCUAAGUUGACUGCCGGUGACAAACCGGAGGAAGGUGGGGAUGACGUCAAAUCAUCAUGCCCCUUAUGAUUUGGGCUACACACGUGCUACAAUGGACAAUACAAAGGGCAGCGAAACCGCGAGGUCAAGCAAAUCCCAUAAAGUUGUUCUCAGUUCGGAUUGUAGUCUGCAACUCGACUACAUGAAGCUGGAAUCGCUAGUAAUCGUAGAUCAGCAUGCUGCGGUGAAUACGUUCCCGGGUCU
RNAcentral lists this ribosomal RNA (1371 nucleotides) under uncultured bacterium. RNAcentral's name for it is "bacterial SSU rRNA". It matches the Rfam family "Bacterial small subunit ribosomal RNA", at positions 28 to 1381 of the family's 1533-position model. The record is from RNAcentral.